GGAGGCCGGGAUGGGCAGCGGGUAAGUAGGAACGGGGUGGCGCCCCACACCCUCCCCUGCUUGUUUGGGGUGCGGCGAGGGGAGGUGCGCCUGUGCAGGGGUUCGCUGGGCUGCGGUUGUGGGUUCCCGGUGGGCGGCCGGAAACUGAGACAGGAAGCCUUGGGGUGGGGUGGGUGUGUGUGUCUGUGUCUGUCUGGUGGGGGGGCUUGGCAGGCGACGCCAAGCUCUCAAGGGCUGGGACAGGUCCUUCGUUCGCGGAGGGCACUAGUCAAGGGCACUAGUCAAGAGUACUGGAACGCGGAGGUGGCCGAGCCACACUCAGGACCGUGGGCGCCCCGGCCGCGGGGCCGCCUUGGCCCGCGCCCCCCCAGCCCCCGCGUGCUUAGCGCCGCAGCGCAGCGCCUUCGGCUGGUUUCUCCCGCCCCUGGAUGGUCCCUGUUCCCUCGGCUUCUGUCUACCACCCACCUGGAUGCCUGCAGCCGCUGGCCUCUCUCCCCCCGGGUGCUCAAAACCAGCAGCGCCCCGGAGAGGAGAAAGAGGGUCCCCCGUCCUUUGGGGCCGCGCGGGACCCGGGUGCGGGGGAUAGGCCCCCCACCAUCCGUUUCCCAAAAGUCGCCGCAGAUGUGCGGCCACCGGGAGUCACGUAGUGUGCGGCGAGCGUCGGAGCUCGGAGAGGCCUGGGCGGGGGUGACCGGGCGAAGCCAGAGUGCAGAGGCUUCUCACGAAAGGGGAAGCUCCUUGCGGGGGUGCAGCUUUCGGCCGAAAUUUAGCUCCGCAGGAGCUUGGGAUGUUUGCUGUUCUCCCCUCGCCUUUAGUUUCAUUUAUUCUCUUCCAAAGAGCAUGUUCCUUCCCCGGAUGUUGGGUGUUUUCCAUCCUCCCUCAAAAAGGAUACGCCGGGAAAGGAACAUGCAGAUCGUUGAACAUUCUUUGGUUGGAGUCUGAGGAAGGCUCAUCUUGACGCUAAGGAGACUCGCGUUUUCGGGGAGUGUAAAAUUUGCAAAAUCAGGAUGUUUCCCCGCCCCAUCUCUCUUGAAGACAACUCUCUCACUCCCCGACCCCCGAUACCAGCUGUCUGCUGCGCCAAAGCUUGAGGAGCCCAGGCCUGGAGUCUUUGGCGGUUAAGAGUACGUAGAGAGAUUUCACAAGAUUCAGCUGUGAUGGUGGUGCUUGGGGGCGAGAGAGAAAGGACUAGAAGUCCUGAGGCGGAAGGGAGUGGCUUUCGAUUGAAACAAAGCUCGAGUAGACCCCAGAGGGGAAGCCUCUGUGGCACCACCCCCUCUUUUCUGUCCCAUUCCAGCUUCUAGUCCUCCCUGGUGCUUGUAGUUAACAGUACUGUUUUAGACUUAAACAUUUUGCUAAGUGAGAUCGUGAAGUGUACUCGCCACAUGCAAGCAACAACAACAAGGCGGUGUGCGUGUGAAAGAAAACUUUUGGAGGUGAUGUGUUUUUGUGGCAUAGCUUGUGGUUUUGCCAGUGUAUGCUGAUCUCCAAACUGAUGAAGUUGCUUAUGGUAAAUAUUUAUGACUUGUUUGUGUGUCCGUCAUACCUCAAUAAAAUGGUUUUAAAAAAAAAAAGCUACCUUUGGAGUUCGUGCUGUGUUGCAGUGGGUUAAGAUUGGCAUUGCAGUGGCUUGAGUUGCUGGGGAAGCAUGGAUUUGAUCCCAUGUGGGCACAGUGGGGUAAAGGAUCUGAGGGAGCCCCAGCUGUGGCUGAGAUUCAGUCUCUGGCCUGGGAACUUCCAUAUGCAGUGGAUGCGGCCAUUAAAAAAAAGUUACAUUCAGUGGUCUAAAAACUUUCUGUAUCAAUAGUUUACAGUGUAAAUCAUAGUUACAGAAAUGAAACUUGAGACCAUAUUACUAUUUCAUUUAGAAACUUUAUUAAAAGGACUGAUUUUUCUCAGACAAGUUAUAUCCAAUGCCUUUUUUUUUUUUUAAAUUGAAGUCUGGUUGAUUUCCAAUGUUGUGUUUCUGGUAUACAGCAAGUAAUUUAUUUAUAAAAACAGACACAUAAGUACACAUACGUAUACAUCCCACCAACCUUUUUCAUAUUCUUCUCCAAUAUGUUUUUUCUUUUUUAAACUGGGAUAUUGAAUGUAAUUCCCUGAGCUAAACAGUAGGAUCUUAUUAUCUGUUUUAUGCAACUUUGUUGUUUAUCUAUUUUACAUGUAGUCCUCUGUAUCUGCUAAUCCCAAACUCCUAAUGCGUCCCUUCUCCACCCCCUUUCUCCUCUGGUAACCAUAAAUUUUCUAGGUUUGUGAGUCUGUUUCUGUUUUGCAAAUAAGGUCAUUUGUGUCAUUAAUUUAGUUUCCACAUGGCCGAGUAGUAUUCCAUAGGUAUGCACUAUGUCCUGUGUGCAUUCAUCUGUCAGUGGCCAUUUACUUUAUUUCCAGGUCUUGGUUAUUGCAGAUGGUGCUGCUAUGAACACUGGGGUGCAUUAUCUUUUCGAAUCGGAGUUUUCUUCAGAUAUGCGCCCAGGUGUGGGGUUGCUGCAUCAAAUGGUGACUCCACUUUUAGUUUUUCAAGGGACAUCCAUACCGUUGUUCUCCUUAGUGGUUGUACUAGUUUACAUUUCCAUCAGAAGUUCCAUCCAAUCUUAAUGGGACUAUUAGGCAUUAAAUAUAAGUUUUGAAAUUAGACCUGCAAAUUCCAACACUGCCUCGCACUAGCUGUAGGACUUCUGAGUAAAUCGAAUUGAACGACCCUCUCCCCCAGCAGGUGUUAUCACUUGAUACACGCGGGUAAUAAAUAUCUUGGCAAUGAGGGUUAAAAGGCACCACGUGUGGGGUCUCAGGCACACUCAGUAGUGAUUCCUUCAUUAGGGAAGGAGCUAUGAGCCCAACCCUUGAUCCAGGGCAGUGUUGAGAUCUCAGUGCCUCCCGCGGCCCUCCCUGCACUGGAGGUGGGUGAGGGUGUUGGUUCCAGACCAAAGAUCCCGCCGGGGAGGGAGCCGCUGCCUCCUCUUGCCUUCGCACCUCGGUGGCUGGGGUGACUCGUUCUCCCCGCGGCCUCUUGAGGAUGAGGUGCAGUCUCUUCCCAGGCUCCACGAGUUUUCGGUGAGUACAGUGAGGAGGCCGGGAUGGGCAGCGGGUAAGUAGGAACGGGGUGGCGCCCCACACCCUCCCCUGCUUGUUUGGGGUGCGGCGAGGGGAAGGCGCGCCGGUGCCGCGGCUUUGAGGGUCCUUGGUUCGCGGAGGGCUCUAGUCGAAAGCAGCUGGAAAGGGGAGGCAGCCGAGCCACGCUCAGGGCGGUGGGCGCCCUGGUCGCGGGGCCGCCUUGGCAGGCGCCACCCCAGCCCCGGUGCGCACCAGCGCCCCAGCG
This 3316-nucleotide long non-coding RNA is filed under the name Sus scrofa (pig). RNAcentral's name for it is "lncRNA (ENSSSCG00045022637.1)". The record is from RNAcentral. Lineage: Eukaryota; Metazoa; Chordata; Mammalia; Artiodactyla; Suidae.